CUCUUCGGAGAGAGUGGCAGACGGGUGCGUAACACGUGGGAACCUACCUAAAGUACGGAAUAACAUCGAGUAAAUCGUUGCUAAUACCGUAUGUGCCCUUCGGGGGAAAGAUUCAUCGCCUUUAGAUGGGCCCGCGGCAGAUUAGCUAGUUGGUGGGGUAAAAGCCUACCAAGGCGACGAUCUGUAGCUGGUCUGAGAGGAUGAUCAGCCACACUGGGACUGAGACACGGCCCAACUCCUACGGGAGGCAGCAGUGGGGAAUAUUGGACAAUGGGCGAAAGCCUGAUCCAGCAAUGCCGCGUGAGUGAUGAAGGCCUUAGGGUUGUAAAGCUCUUUUACCAGGGAUGAUAAUGACAGUACCUGGAGAAUAAGCUCCGGCUAACUCCGUGC
Molecule: ribosomal RNA, 390 nt
Filed under: uncultured Alphaproteobacteria bacterium
Lineage: Bacteria; Pseudomonadati; Pseudomonadota; Alphaproteobacteria
Description: bacterial SSU rRNA
Rfam family: Bacterial small subunit ribosomal RNA
Source: RNAcentral